Molecule: ribosomal RNA, 1425 nt
Filed under: uncultured organism
Description: 16S ribosomal RNA
Rfam family: Bacterial small subunit ribosomal RNA
Source: RNAcentral
CGGCGUGCUUAACACAUGCAAGUCGAACGGAAAGGCCCUGCUUUUGUGGGGUGCUCGAGUGGCGAACGGGUGAGUAACACGUGAGUAACCUGCCCUUGACUUUGGGAUAACUUCAGGAAACUGGGGCUAAUACCGGAUAGGAGCUCCUGCUGCAUGGUGGGGGUUGGAAAGUUUCGGCGGUUGGGGAUGGACUCGCGGCUUAUCAGCUUGUUGGUGGGGUAGUGGCUUACCAAGGCUUUGACGGGUAGCCGGCCUGAGAGGGUGACCGGCCACAUUGGGACUGAGAUACGGCCCAGACUCCUACGGGAGGCAGCAGUGGGGAAUAUUGCACAAUGGGCGGAAGCCUGAUGCAGCAACGCCGCGUGCGGGAUGACGGCCUUCGGGUUGUAAACCGCUUUCGCCUGUGACGAAGCGUGAGUGACGGUAAUGGGUAAAGAAGCACCGGCUAACUACGUGCCAGCAGCCGCGGUGAUACGUAGGGUGCGAGCGUUGUCCGGAUUUAUUGGGCGUAAAGGGCUCGUAGGUGGUUGAUCGCGUCGGAAGUGUAAUCUUGGGGCUUAACCCUGAGCGUGCUUUCGAUACGGGUUGACUUGAGGAAGGUAGGGGAGAAUGGAAUUCCUGGUGGAGCGGUGGAAUGCGCAGAUAUCAGGAGGAACACCAGUGGCGAAGGCGGUUCUCUGGGCCUUUCCUGACGCUGAGGAGCGAAAGCGUGGGGAGCGAACAGGCUUAGAUACCCUGGUAGUCCACGCUGUAAACGGUGGGUACUAGGUGUGGGGUCCAUUCCACGGGUUCCGUGCCGUAGCUAACGCUUUAAGUACCCCGCCUGGGGAGUACGGCCGCAAGGCUAAAACUCAAAGGAAUUGACGGGGCCCCGCACAAGCGGCGGAGCAUGCGGAUUAAUUCGAUGCAACGCGUAGAACCUUACCUGGGUUUGACAUGGAUCGGGAGUGCUCAGAGAUGGGUGUGCCUCUUUUGGGGUCGGUUCACAGGUGGUGCAUGGCUGUCGUCAGCUCGUGUCGUGAGAUGUUGGGUUAAGUCCCGCAACGAGCGCAACCCUUGUUCACUGUUGCCAGCACGUUAUGGUGGGGACUCAGUGGAGACCGCCGGGGUCAACUCGGAGGAAGGUGGGGAUGACGUCAAGUCAUCAUGCCCCUUAUGUCCAGGGCUUCACGCAUGCUACAAUGGCUGGUACAGAGAGUGGCGAGCCUGUGAGGGUGAGCGAAUCUCGGAAAGCCGGUCUCAGUUCGGAUUGGGGUCUGCAACUCGACCUCAUGAAGUCGGAGUCGCUAGUAAUCGCAGAUCAGCAACGCUGCGGUGAAUACGUUCCCGGGGCUUGUACACACCGCCCGUCAAGUCAUGAAAGUUGGUAACACCCGAAGCCGGUGGCCUAACAGAGGUGGGGGAGCCGUCGAAGGUGGGACUGGU